RNAcentral lists this long non-coding RNA (2079 nucleotides) under Camelus dromedarius (Arabian camel). Its description in RNAcentral is "lncRNA (ENSCDRG00005002054.1)". Lineage: Eukaryota; Metazoa; Chordata; Mammalia; Artiodactyla; Camelidae. The record is from RNAcentral.
GUCCUGUAGGUCAAGGUUGGCUCCUGACUCUUUUAUUUUCCUUUAGGUAUAAGAGUGGAUCUGCAGAGAUUGGGUGUGAGGAUUUCUGGCAUGUGACCCAGUCCUCACUGCUCCUGGUUCCCUAUUCUGCCCUCUUUGGAAUCUUCUGGCCCUGAGAGAUCUGUGAAAAGAGGAGAAAAUGGCACCUGAGUUCCUGGCAGCAAGACCCCCAGAACAAAGCAGCUGCCUGAGCAUGAAGGCCACGGGACGCCCCCCACGAGUUCCACCUUUGGCGGAGACAACACCUCCUGAAACUCCCUCUGGAUGUUCCAGGUGGAGUUUGGACAGGCUGCAGAGAGUUUCCCCCAGCAGAGCCACUGGGGCUCAGGGGAUUCCCUUCCUAACAGGGAGGGCAAGAUGUGGGAACAUGUAGAAGCUGGAGCCACCUCAGAGUCCAAGGAGACAGCACUGCCUUCUGAGGGCUCUGCCCUUCUUCAGGAAGAGGAGGAAAUGCCCAAAUUACAGGUAAGUUAGAAUCCACCUUCUCUCCCUGGAAAUAUCACCGAAACACCUCCUGUUGAUAUUGGGGAAAGAGAGCAAUAUAAUGCAUAUAUUGUGCUGGCCCUGGGCUAGACAUGUAUUACUCCAGUUUCUCAAAAAAUAGUUGUCUGAGCCCUGCUGGUAGGAGUGUAAAAUGCUAUAAUAUACUUUGGACAACAGUUUCAGAGUUUCUUAUAAAAUUAAGCACACACUUAUUGACCCAGAAAUCCCACUGUUAGUAUUUACCCAGAAGAAACGAAAAUAUACAUUCACCCAAAAAUCUGAAUGUCUGUUCAUUAGCAGCUGUGUUCAUAAUAGCCUCACACUGAAAACAACCCAAAUGUCCAUCAGUUGAUAAAUGGAUUAAAAAAAGUGUUAAUCUGUAUAAUUAAGAACUACUCAGUAAAAAAAAAAAAAAAGGAACAAAUUACUGAUACUUAUAAUAGCAUGAAUAAAUCCCAGAAGCAUUAUGCUGAGAGAAAUAAGCCAGACACAAAAGUGCUAUGUGUGUCCACUUUUAUGAAAUUCUAGAACAGGCUAAAUUUACUUAUAGUGACAGCAGAUCAGUGGUUGUUGAGAGCAGGGAUUGGGGGCCGGGAUCAGCUGGGAACAGAUAGGGCAAAGGAACUUUCUGGAGUGAUGGAAAUGAUCUAGAUCAUGACUGGUAUGAGUUACACAGGGAUAUUCUUUUGUCAAAACUCAUCAACUGGUACACCUGAGAGCUUGUUUGGAGGUUCUAGCAGGGGAGCGCAGCUACUCAUAUACCCUUGACCGAGAAGAACGGUCCUCCUCUUCAGGGAUGGUUGUUCUCUUUGACCGAGCUCGCAGCUUCAGGAAGGAUGCGCAUGGAGCCGUGAGGGAGGAAGGGGACAUCCACCGAGACAGCCAGAUCAGCCGAAUCAACCCUGGCGUUCAGUGGGGUGACAGAUGUCACAGCCAGAUCGCCCUCAUAUCCUAUCAACCGGUACACUUAAGAUUCAUGUAAUUCACUGUAUAUUUAAACCUCAAUUAGAAAAAAAUUGUAAACAGAAACAACAUUAAAAAAAAAACAAAACCCAACUCAAUAUUGAGGACAUACCUAUUUUAAGAGAAGAGGAAGGAGGAUCAGAGAAGGUAAUUCUUUUUUACCCAGAAUCAUCUGUUUGACCUCUUCAGCUUUGCAGAAAGCAUCAUAGAGGCUGGCUUGACAUUCUCUUGCCCUCCGUGUGUUCCCAUCAUCCCCCCGUUGUGAGUUACCAGCCCUUUGUAAGCUCUCUUAUCCUCAUUCUUUAUUUGACAGGCUUAAUAUUUGUGCUGAAAAUCGGCCAGAGACCAGGCUGCUGGGGUUUGACACCUGUCUGUUGUCUGAUCCUUGCUCCCUCCCCAGUUCCCCCUCAGAGCUGUUCUGUGCCUUCCCCUCUCUCUGCAUGCUUCGAACGACCCCCUCCCCAGGAGAGAACCCCCUCUGCCCCACAGUGGUAGCCACUAUUCUGACUUCUAGUAUUGUAGGUUAAUUCCACCUGAUUUUGAACUUUUCAAGUAGAAUCAAGUGUACCCACAGUAAAUACUCUUUUGUGCCUG